CACUCUCGGUCUCUCACACAUUCAGUCUCCAGCUUGCUUGAGAAGCAAGAUCUCACCCACGUGCGAGACGGUUAUAUUCCAUUCCCGCCAAGCACCAAGCUUAAAUUGAACAUCACACCCAUUUUUCCAUUCUCCAAAUCAAAAAAACACCCAAACCUCUCUCCGAUAACCUCACAAUAUGCCGAGUAUCACCGCUGUGAUUCAAGAAAACCUGCACUGGACUCUUGCAAUGUCGAGGAUGAACGGCGUUCAAGUUCCAAAUGGAACUUCACCUGAAGAUCUGUUAGCAUAUUGCCAAAGCAGAGCACACAUAUUUGAGAGAGAUGAUUGGGCCGAUGAACGUUUUACCCCUGGGAGAGCGAUGUUGCUGAACCUUGACCUCUUUUAUUGAUGAUGCUUUAGGGAGAUGGAGCUUUGUAGGAGGACUUUAGAGCGACAAUGAGUUGUAGUGUAGGUUUUAGUACAUAUUUCAGUUGUAUGUGGAUGCAAAUAUGUUUUUGUAAGUAAGAGCUGAAUUGCUUCAAUUGCAUCUGCUUUUUGUGAUUACAAGGUCUUCUGACCAUUCACUUGUGAAUUGUGAUGGGAUGCUUCCACUUGUUCUCCACCAGUAGGUUUGGAAGUUGGAACCUACUUUAAUAAAUACCAUAACUAUCUUGUUCU
Molecule: long non-coding RNA, 660 nt
Organism: Quercus lobata
Lineage: Eukaryota; Viridiplantae; Streptophyta; Magnoliopsida; Fagales; Fagaceae
Exons: 3
Source: RefSeq, a predicted model, not a curated record